This 253-nucleotide ribosomal RNA is filed under the name uncultured bacterium. Its description in RNAcentral is "partial 16S ribosomal RNA". It matches the Rfam family "Bacterial small subunit ribosomal RNA", at positions 524 to 776 of the family's 1533-position model. The record is from RNAcentral.
UACGUAGGAGGCGAGCGUUGUCCGGAUUUACUGGGCGUAAAGCGCACGUAGGCGGCUUGGUAUGUCGGGUGUGAAAUCCCCGGGCUCAACCUGGGAACUGCAUCCGAAACUGCCUUGCUAGAGUAUGGGAGAGGGAAGUGGAAUUUCCGGUGUAGCGGUGAAAUGCGUAGAUAUCGGAAGGAACAUCAGUGGCGAAGGCGGAUCUCUGGGCCUUACCUGACGCUGAGGCGCGAAAGCUAGGGGAGCGAACAGG